This is a non-coding RNA of Mesorhizobium sp., 100 nucleotides long. NCBI's taxonomy places the organism in Bacteria, Pseudomonadati, Pseudomonadota, Alphaproteobacteria, Hyphomicrobiales, Phyllobacteriaceae. The record is from Rfam.
AUGUCCGACGCCAAGCUGCCCGAUAUCCAGUCCGGCUACGAGAAGGGCGUCACCAACGUGAUGGCCGGCCUUUCCGGGCUCAAUCUCGUCUACGAAUCGG